UAGUGUAUAAGUCAGGAAAGUUCCCCACAAUAGCGGGACCAUUCCCCUGCUUACUCAUGGCAAGGAGCUCCUGUCCUUAGGCUACAGCUUGCAGCUCAUCCUCUGUGACCCAGCACCAGCUAAUGGAUUCGUUCCUCAGUGGAUUCUCUGGAUGUUGAAAUCUUUAUUCAGCUCGCUGCUGGUGUGUGCGCGUUUGAGGGUAUCUGAGUCUGUUCCAUCCACCCUGUGUACAGCUGCUCUUGACCCUGUUUGAAGGUAACCUGGUCCUGACCCUGAGCUCCGAUUUCUGCCUUCGGCUCUGGCCUCUGGCUCUGACCCUUGGCUCCAAUUUCUGGCUACCAGCUCCUGCUCUAACCACUGGAUAUGACUCCUGCUCCAACCACUCAGCAUGACCACUCACGUCCUGUUCACUGACCUUGGGCCCAUCUCUGAUUGUUCAUCCCAAAAGUACAGCCACAGAGAUUCCCAGAUGAUGCUCGCUAAUGGGAAGCAUUUGCAGUGGUGCUGGAACAAUUUUUACAGUUGGGGUGCUGAAAGCCAGUGGUCCCCAAACUUUUUACCUGGCCCCUUCUUACCCUGUCUGUGCUCCCUCUCCCCCGAGUUGAGGCCAGGACUGGGCUGUGGAUCGGGGUAAGGUGACUCAGGCUGGGACCACACCUUGCGGGGCUAGUAGCGGGACCCUGUGUCUGGGACCAGCAGUGAAGCAUGGGGCCAGCAGCCGGGACCCCCGCAAACUGAUUAACUCCUUGCACCCCAAGUUCCCAUGCCUAUAAGCAUGUGUAGGCUCUCACUAGGUGAUUGCACCGUGUAACACACAGCUUGUAUGAAUAACUCCCAUGUUUGUUUUCCAGCCGCUAUAUUGAGAAUUGACAAUGAAAAUAUGUCUGUCACUACUGUGAAUGUAAAACUGUCUCUACUGAAAAGUAAAUACAUUCAAAAUUUCUA
Chelonia mydas (Green sea turtle) is the source of this 945-nucleotide long non-coding RNA. RefSeq lists it as uncharacterized. NCBI's taxonomy places the organism in Eukaryota, Metazoa, Chordata, Testudines, Cheloniidae. The record is from RefSeq and is a predicted model, not a curated record. The transcript has 3 exons.